CGAACGAUGAAGGGAGCUUGCUCCUGGAUUAGUGGCGAACGGGUGAGUAACACGUGAGUAACCUGCCCUUGACUCUGGGAUAAGCCUGGGAAACUGGGUCUAAUACCGGAUAUGACUGAUCAUCGCAUGGUGGUUGGUGGAAAGCUUUUUGUGGUUUUGGAUGGACUCGCGGCCUAUCAGCUUGUUGGUGAGGUAAUGGCUUACCAAGGCGACGACGGGUAGCCGGCCUGAGAGGGUGACCGGCCACACUGGGACUGAGACACGGCCCAGACUCCUACGGGAGGCAGCAGUGGGGAAUAUUGCACAAUGGGCGCAAGCCUGAUGCAGCGACGCCGCGUGAGGGAUGACGGCCUUCGGGUUGUAAACCUCUUUCAGUAGGGAAGAAGCCUUUCGGGGUGACGGUACCUGCAGAAGAAGCGCCGGCUAACUACGUGCCAGCAGCCGCGGUAAUACGUAGGGCGCAAGCGUUAUCCGGAAUUAUUGGGCGUAAAGAGCUCGUAGGCGGUUUGUCGCGUCUGCCGUGAAAGUCCGGGGCUCAACUCCGGAUCUGCGGUGGGUA
This 559-nucleotide ribosomal RNA is filed under the name Arthrobacter sp. CH1A. RNAcentral describes it as "bacterial SSU rRNA". It matches the Rfam family "Bacterial small subunit ribosomal RNA", at positions 63 to 632 of the family's 1533-position model. The record is from RNAcentral. Lineage: Bacteria; Bacillati; Actinomycetota; Actinomycetes; Micrococcales; Micrococcaceae.